UUGAGGUCCCACCGAGAUUUGAACUCGGAUCGCUGGAUUCAAAGUCCAGAGUGCUAACCAUUACACCAUGGGACCGCCUAUACGCGCUGCUGACCCAAAUCGGUAUAACAAUCUACCACGGGUCGCUCUCCGACACGCUCGUUCCGCUGCUACAUUGCAGGGCAUCUCGGGUUUCAGAUACCGCGGGCGUGAACAUUUUAAUGGAGCCAAAAUAUAUUUUAAACAAAAAAAAAGUCCGAGCCGAUUUGAUCGCGGAGAUAAUAUUACCAAAGCGUUGUUUUACGCGCGCAAAUGAAAUGGCAGUGUCGCGGUCAUUGGAUGAUGAGGAUGAUGAUGCUGAUGAUAUUGAUGAAUCGGUUGGAAAUGUUCAUACAAGAGUUGCAUCGCCUGAAUGUAAAAAAAGAAAAAUGUCACGAAGUUCAGCAUCAGCCGUGGUCUAUUCACUGCUGGAUGAAGCCCGACAGCCCCAAACCUCCGCCGUCAUCUCUCACGACGGAGAAAAUGCUAUACGCUACUUGGUUGGGCUGCCCUGCAGAAGCGCUUUCGCCAGCUGGAAGACGUUGAACCUUCAUGAACCAAGUUGUGGAGAAUUAUGGCCAAAGACAGCACAUGGGUCUGCUACCCAAAGCAAGCCAUGAGUAUAGUUUAUAAUAGCACACAUCUGUUUGCCGAGGUUGGCAGUGGCAGAACUUCGUGGCUUGGUGGCCAUUUUACCAAACAACUGCAGAGUUGGGAGGUAAAAUGGUUGCCACGGCCGCGGGGAUUUUGUUGGUGGGGCGCAGCCCUGUUUUUUUUGUUUUUUUAUUUUCAGAUGUCACUUGUUCACAUAUCUUUAAAUACAAGUUCACGGAACAGGCUGGUGCAUCCCUACCUAUGUAGUGCAGGGGUAAAUCUGGGAGCCAGCCAUGUUUUUUAAUCUCACAAGUGCAAGAGGUCCAGGGUU
Non-coding RNA from Petromyzon marinus (sea lamprey), 943 nucleotides. The record is from RefSeq and is a predicted model, not a curated record. Lineage: Eukaryota; Metazoa; Chordata; Hyperoartia; Petromyzontiformes; Petromyzontidae.